RNAcentral lists this ribosomal RNA (513 nucleotides) under uncultured bacterium. RNAcentral describes it as "partial 16S ribosomal RNA". It matches the Rfam family "Bacterial small subunit ribosomal RNA", at positions 28 to 523 of the family's 1533-position model. The record is from RNAcentral.
GAUGAACGCUGGCGGCGUGCCUAAUACAUGCAAGUCGAGCGAACAGACGAGGAGCUUGCUCCUCUGACGUUAGCGGUGGACGGGUGAGUAACACGUGGAUAACCUACCUAUAAGACUGGGAUAACUUCGGGAAACCGGAGCUAAUACCGGAUAACAUGUUGAACCGCAUGGUACAACAGUGAAAGACGGUCUUGCUGUCACUUAUAGAUGGAUCCGCGCCGCAUUAGCUAGUUGGUAAGGUAACGGCUUACCAAGGCAACGAUGCGUAGCCGACCUGAGAGGGUGAUCAGCCACACUGGAACUGAGACACGGUCCAGACUCCUACGGGGGGCAGCAGUAGGGAAUCUUCCGCAAUGGGCGAAAGCCUGACGGAGCAACGCCGCGUGAGUGAAGAAGGUCUUCGGAUCGUAAAACUCUGUUAUUAGGGAAGAACAAAUGUGUAAGUAACUAUGCACGUCUUGACGGUACCUAAUCAGAAAGCCACGGCUAACUACGUGCCAGCAGCCGCCGCAG